UUCCGGUUGAUCCUGCCGGAGGUCAUUGCUAUCGGAGUCCGAUUUAGCCAUGCUAGCCGCACGGGUUCAGACCCGUGGCGAAUAGCUCAGUAACACGUGGCCAAUCUGCCCUACAGAUCGCGAUAUCCUCGGGAAACUGAGGUCAAUAGCGGAUACGGACCUCCUCCUUGAAUGGUGAGGUCCGGAAACGUUCCGACGCUGUAGGAUGAGGCUGCGGCCGAUUAGGUAGACGGUGGGGUAACGGCCCACCGUGCCGAUAAUCGGUACGGGUUGUGAGAGCAAGAACCCGGAGACGGAAUCUGAGACAAGAUUCCGGGCCCUACGGGGCGCAGCAGGCGCGAAACCUUUACACUGCACGACAGUGCGAUAGGGGGACUCCGAGUGCGGAGGCAUAGUGCCUUCGCUUUUGUGUACCGUAAGGUGGUACACGAAUAAGAGCUGGGCAAGACCGGUGCCAGCCGCCGCGGUAACACCGGCAGCUCGAGUGAUGACCGAUCUUAUUGGGCCUAAAGCGUUCGUAGCCGGCCGGGCAAGUUCGUCGGGAAAUCUACCAGCUCAACUGGUAGGCGUCCGGCGAAAACUGUUCGGCUUGGGACAGGGAGACUCGAAGGGUACGUCCGGGGUAGGAGUGAAAUCCUGUAAUCCUGGACGGACCACCGAUGGCGAAAGCACUUCGAGAGAACUGAUCCGACGGUCAGGAACGAAAGCUGGGGUCUCGAACCGGAUUAGAUACCCGGGUAGUCCCAGCUGUAAACGAUGUUCGCUAGGUGCGACGCAGACUACGCGUCUGUGUUGUGCCGUAGGGAAGCCGAGAAGCGAACCGCCUGGGAAGUACGUCCGCAAGGAUGAAACUUAAAGGAAUUGGCGGGGGAGCACUACAACCGGAGGAGCCUGCGGUUUAAUUGGACUCAACGCCGGG
RNAcentral lists this ribosomal RNA (919 nucleotides) under uncultured archaeon. Its description in RNAcentral is "bacterial SSU rRNA". It matches the Rfam family "Archaeal small subunit ribosomal RNA", at positions 1 to 922 of the family's 1478-position model. The record is from RNAcentral.